ACUUAUGAAAGAGGCCUUCUCUAGUUUUUCUCAGACAAUAUAAGCUGUAAUGCUUUUUCUUCUGUAAACAGAACUCAGUUUCCCUGGCGAACCUCAAGGAUGUGAAGGUACAAACACCGGAUUCACCUUCUUUGCCAAGCGCACAACCUCUCCUGAACCAGCAGGUAAAUAUGACAACUCAAAGCAGCAAAAUAUCUCCAGGUCCCAGCAGGAUCUCUUGUACUGAGGAUCCAACAACAAUUGUCUGCAAUACUUUAUCGAAGUCCGCAUCAAGGGGGGAGAGUUCCAUGCUUGCAGCAGACAGUGAAAAUGUGAAAACUCUGAGACGAGAUACAGUAUCUACCUCAGAUAGACAGCCUUCCCAGAAGCAACCAACAAAUACAUCAAGUAUGAGCUCCAUGCUUGCAGCAGACACUAAAAUGUGAGAAGUGUAAGACGAGAUUUGGUAUCUACCUCAGAUAGGCGGCCUUCCCAGAAGCAGCAGAUGAACACAUCAAAUAUGGACUCUUCAAUAUCUUCAGGGUCGGCUAACAUUCCAUCCACUGAAGGGUCAACUAUAGCUGGAUUCCGUACUGCUUCAAAAAAGUCCCUUCCAAAGGUUGAUAAUGUGAAGACAGAAACACAGGUUUUGCCAUCUUUACCUAAUAGGCAGCCCUCUCAGAAGCAACAGC
Molecule: non-coding RNA, 671 nt
Organism: Phoenix dactylifera (date palm)
Lineage: Eukaryota; Viridiplantae; Streptophyta; Magnoliopsida; Arecales; Arecaceae
Source: RefSeq, a predicted model, not a curated record